This 441-nucleotide ribosomal RNA is filed under the name uncultured bacterium. Its description in RNAcentral is "partial 16S ribosomal RNA". It matches the Rfam family "Bacterial small subunit ribosomal RNA", at positions 338 to 795 of the family's 1533-position model. The record is from RNAcentral.
CCUACGGGAGGCAGCAGUGGGGAAUAUUGGGCAAUGGGCGCAAGCCUGACCCAGCAACGCCGCGUGAAGGAAGAAGGUCUUCGGGUCGUAAACUUCUUUUAAGAGGGAAGAGCAGAAGACGUUACCUUUUGAAUAAGCUACGGCUAACUACGUGCCAGCAGCCGCGGUAAUACGUGGGUGGCAACCGUUGUCCGGAUUUACUGGGUGUAAAGGGCGUGAAGCCGGGAGGAAAAGUCAGUGGUCAAAUCCCGCGGCUAAACCGGGAAACUGCAUUGAAACUGGUUUUCUUGAGUGCCGGAGAGGUCAUUGGAAUUCCUGGUGUAGGGGUGAAAUGCGUAGAUAUAAGGAGGAACACCAGUGGCGAAGGCGAAUGACUGGACCGCAACUGACGGUGAGGCGCGAAAGCGUGGGGAGCAAACAGGAUUAGAUACCCGAGUAGUC